AUCUUCCUAGUAUAGUUAUAGUACAUGUGACUUCCAAUCACCUGGUUUUGGUUAAACCCCAAAGAAAGAUA
RNAcentral lists this transfer RNA (71 nucleotides) under Taeniacara candidi. RNAcentral describes it as "tRNA-Gly". It matches the Rfam family "tRNA". From Rfam's summary of the family: Transfer RNA (tRNA) molecules are approximately 80 nucleotides in length. Their secondary structure includes four short double-helical elements and three loops (D, anti-codon, and T loops). Lineage: Eukaryota; Metazoa; Chordata; Actinopteri; Cichliformes; Cichlidae. The record is from RNAcentral.